GCACAAUUUUCCUGAAACCCUUGGGCUCCUCCCCACCUCCCUGUCCCAGUCUGAGCCCAUGUGUAUAUUCGUGGAUCUGGAAAAAGGAGUUUAAGUGAUCUUCAGGAGCCAGCUAGACUUAACUUUCCUUUUCUCUGUUCUUGGAGCCCCAGUGUUUCUGCCAUGGAGUGGAGGCAGCUGAGGGGCUGGACUUAAUGAAUGUCUGUCCGUGUCGUCUUGGGUCUGUUUGAGCUACUGGGGAGUGGUUGUGGGCCUGUGAAACCCUAUGCCCCAAACUCGGAGAAAUCAAGUUUUGUUCUCUUGUUGCAUUACUUAUACUGUGUUGUAGCUGAUUUACUUUGAUAAGUUCUGUUGAUCUUCCCUUGAGGUGACCCUGAAUAGAUGUUUCUUUGCCUUGUGUAGUCUUUAAUUAGUGAUCAGGUUUUUAAAAUACCCUAAAGCCCCAGGAAUUUAUUUUUGAAGGACCCUCCCCAUUGCCAUUUUCCUUUGUGUGAGCAUGUUGGUCCUUUUCGUAUUUUUCCAGCUUGGAUUUUUUUGCGGGGGUGGGGUGGGCAGUGAGGGCUGCAGCACCCUUUAAUAAAUAACUUUUAAAGUUGGUUUGAGCAGGACAUGGAGUUUCUAGAAAUUUCUGAAAGUCCUUGGUACUCUGUUCCUCUCUGCUUUAACCAGAUUUAGAGGACUGGUUUUGACUUUGUAUUUUCCUAUGAGAUAGAUAAUUACUCUUUUAGAGGAAUAAUCCUUUUUUAUACCCUUUGGUGAUGUUGACCUAAUCAGCCCUCAUUUCAUCCUCUACAUAUUCUUGUGAAAUGCACGGAGACUUGAGAACUGACCGUGCCGAAGCUGGCGAUUUCCUGAGCCUCUUACUCUGAGCACAGCGACCCCGACUCCCAGCUGUUCUGGGAUCACCUAGGGGGCAGCCUCUGAAGUAUGUAACUGACGCAGUUACUCUCUUAUUACCCGUUAAAGGCUUAUCACAGGAGAAAAGAUUGUCAGGGAGAACUGUUCUUCAGACAGCCUGUAUUUUGGUUCCCAGAAUCUAUGUGGUCUUUGCAUUUGGGUCCCAUGAGCAAGCUCCGUGGUUCCCCUCACACAGGGGCCCCAGGAGGCUUGAGGGCAGCAGAAUGGCUUUGCCACUGAACCGUGUUCGGCGACAGCUGGGGUGUGAGCGUGCUGUGAGGCUGGGCGUGUCUCAUCUUCAGGUCCCCUCCUUGUGGUUGUUACAAAGAAAUGUAAGAGGUAUCUGUGCAGUGUGUGGCAUUCUAGUAGCUUGUGCCAUGUCCACUAAGGCAAAGUUGGAAACAAAAUAACACUCUAAACAGGGUGAAAUUCUAGACAGUGGUUUUCCUGGGAGAGUGGACCAAGUUUGCACAGGAAACUUCCAGAAAAUGUUACUUGAAAAUGGUUGAAGCGAGGGAAAGCUCCGGAUGAUUAUGGCUUGGGAUUCCUUGUGGCUUGAGGAACUCUGUUUUAAUCAGGCAGACCCCUUCUUCUGCACUGGAGAAUGUGUUCAGAGCCUGGAGAGAUGGUAGGAGGACUUGCUGGCAAAUGACUUGCAGUGAGCCCCCAGCCACGGCUGUCACUGUUGUCAGGUGGGGGGUUGGAGGGGAGCAUGGCAGAGAGCUUACCCCCUUAGUUUGUCCUGAAAGAGGGGAUAUUACUGACCUGCCGAUGUUCUGGGAGAGGGGACAGGCACUGCAGGGCACUGGACCGCAGGGUCUGCCACGGGUGCGUGAGCAGGUUCUGGCAUCAGGCUGUGGGGGGUGACAGCCGAGAAAGGUGCUGCUGCUGCCUUUGCUCCGCAGCGAGGAGCCGCUUGCAGUACACUCUGCAGCUCCCUCAGUGCAUUGUCCCUGGGGAGGAAGAGGAACUGAGACGCAGGCAGGGGACCUGAAUGGUGAGAGAGUGAAGUUGUGGGAGUUAUUUGAGGUCAUAUGCUCAGACUUGUUCCUGGAGGCAGCUGCUCUGAACCUCUCGUGCCCUCAUGCUUUGCCUGGGCCGCAGACCACCAGGGACAGCUCCUGCUGAGGACAAGCCCAGACCUGGCACAGGGCCCAGAAGCCUCGCCUCAGCCCAGCUGGCAGGUGCUGUCUUUACAGGAGAGGCUGAUGAGUGAUGCACAGUGAACCCAUGCCGGGUCGCCGGCGGGUCUCCACUCAGAGCUGCCCGACCCGUAGCCCUUGGUGCUGGCAGGCGAUGUUCACACUGGCCUCCCUGUCAGCAACGCGGCCAGUCCUGGGACUCGGCGUGGUCUGUGCGCAGUCACGGCCCGCGGCCCCAUGGGAGCCCGAGUGCUAGCACAGGACCGUGCUGCUGGAGCCACAGGUUUCGGUCGCGCACGCGCUUUGGGACUCACGUGCGUGGGGCAGGUUUGAGGGGCUUGUCGAGCUGCAGAGCGGAAGUGUGUUUGGCAUCCUUGGUAAAUGUAGACCGAAAACACUGUGACCUGGUGUUACUUUUCUUCUUCAUUUGGAUAUAAGGGAGAGUUUGUGACUAGGCAAGACAUCCUCUAAAAUGACUGGGACUUGGGGCUUUGGUCCUGAUCACUGUUGAAUUAUAAUAACUGGAGACAAGAAGGGACUUAGGGUUGUUAAAAGUCACAGAACUAGUACGAUGAUGAAUGACGGCCUGUUGUGAAAAUAGAUUUCACCGUGUGCCCUAGGACGAUGCUACAUUAAAGGUGGGCUUUGGUAAUGUGUGUGAAUAUACGUUUUGGAAGUAAUGAGAUCUUCAGUGUAUCCAUUAAAAAUUUUUUUAAAAAACACCUUUGUA
This is a long non-coding RNA of Lutra lutra (Eurasian river otter), 2769 nucleotides long. RefSeq lists it as uncharacterized. NCBI's taxonomy places the organism in Eukaryota, Metazoa, Chordata, Mammalia, Carnivora, Mustelidae. The record is from RefSeq and is a predicted model, not a curated record. The transcript has 3 exons.